RNAcentral lists this ribosomal RNA (483 nucleotides) under uncultured bacterium. Its description in RNAcentral is "partial 16S ribosomal RNA". It matches the Rfam family "Bacterial small subunit ribosomal RNA", at positions 30 to 507 of the family's 1533-position model. The record is from RNAcentral.
UUGAACGCUGGCGGCAGGCCUAACACAUGCAAGUCGAGCGGAUGAAGGGAGCUUGCUCCUGGAUUCAGCGGCGGACGGGUGAGUAAUGCCUAGGAAUCUGCCUGGUAGUGGGGGAUAACGUCCGGAAACGGGCGCUAAUACCGCAUACGUCCUGAGGGAGAAAGUGGGGGAUCUUCGGACCUCACGCUAUCAGAUGAGCCUAGGUCGGAUUAGCUAGUUGGUGGGGUAAAGGCCUACCAAGGCGACGAUCCGUAACUGGUCUGAGAGGAUGAUCAGUCACACUGGAACUGAGACACGGUCCAGACUCCUACGGGAGGCAGCAGUGGGGAGUAUUGGACAAUGGGCGAAAGCCUGAUCCAGCCAUGCCGCGUGUGUGAGGAAGGUCUUCGGAUUGUAAAGCACUUUAAGUUGGGAGGAAGGGCAGUAAGUUAAUACCUUGCUGUUUUGACGUUACCAACAGAAUAAGCACCGGCUAACUUCGUG